Molecule: transfer RNA, 75 nt
Filed under: Alphaproteobacteria bacterium
Lineage: Bacteria; Pseudomonadati; Pseudomonadota; Alphaproteobacteria
Description: tRNA-Phe
Rfam family: tRNA
About the family: Transfer RNA (tRNA) molecules are approximately 80 nucleotides in length. Their secondary structure includes four short double-helical elements and three loops (D, anti-codon, and T loops). Further hydrogen bonds mediate the characteristic L-shaped molecular structure. tRNAs have two regions of fundamental functional importance: the anti-codon, which is responsible for specific mRNA codon recognition, and the 3' end, to which the tRNAs corresponding amino acid is attached (by aminoacyl-tRNA synthetases). tRNAs cope with the degeneracy of the genetic code in two manners: having more than one tRNA (with a specific anti-codon) for a particular amino acid; and 'wobble' base-pairing, i.e. permitting non-standard base-pairing at the 3rd anti-codon position.
Source: RNAcentral
GCCCAGGUAGCUCAGUGGUAGAGCAGAGGAUUGAAAAUCCUCGUGUCGCAAGUUCAAUUCUCGCUCUGGGCACCA